AGCAACGUAGCACAGUUGGUAGUGCGCCGGUCUCAUACAUAUAUGUACAUGAGGAAUCCGGAGGUCGCUUGAUCGAGACAAGCUGUUGCUA
Mycena galericulata is the source of this 91-nucleotide non-coding RNA. NCBI's taxonomy places the organism in Eukaryota, Fungi, Basidiomycota, Agaricomycetes, Agaricales, Mycenaceae. The record is from the annotation of a GenBank genome assembly.